GUUUGAUCCUGGCUCAGAACGAACGCUGGCGGCAGGCCUAACACAUGCAAGUCGAGCGCACCCUUCGGGGCGAGCGGCGGACGGGUUAGUAACGCGUGGGAACAUACCCUUUUCUACGGAAUAGCCUCGGGAAACUGAGAGUAAUACCGUAUAAGCCCUUCGGGGGAAAGAUUUAUCGGGAAAGGAUUGGCCCGCGUUAGAUUAGAUAGUUGGUGGGGUAAUGGCCUACCAAGUCUACGAUCUAUAGCUGGUUUUAGAGGAUGAUCAGCAACACUGGGACUGAGACACGGCCCAGACUCCUACGGGAGGCAGCAGUGGGGAAUCUUAGACAAUGGGCGCAAGCCUGAUCUAGCCAUGCCGCGUGUGUGAUGAAGGCCUUAGGGUCGUAAAGCACUUUCGCUAGGGAUGAUAAUGACAGUACCUAGUAAAGAAACCCCGGCUAACUCCGUGCCAGCAGCCGCGGUAAUAAGGGCGAAUU
RNAcentral lists this ribosomal RNA (478 nucleotides) under uncultured bacterium. RNAcentral describes it as "bacterial SSU rRNA". It matches the Rfam family "Bacterial small subunit ribosomal RNA", at positions 11 to 535 of the family's 1533-position model. The record is from RNAcentral.